RNAcentral lists this long non-coding RNA (572 nucleotides) under Anser brachyrhynchus (Pink-footed goose). RNAcentral's name for it is "lncRNA (ENSABRG00000003295.1)". Lineage: Eukaryota; Metazoa; Chordata; Aves; Anseriformes; Anatidae. The record is from RNAcentral.
CUCGUGGUAAGAUAGAAGUCUAAUAACUUUGGGAUAAAUCAUCUUCUGUUUUCUGUCUUUCUUCAUAAUAGCUUUGAAUAAGAAACUCAGACUAUUUGCGUAGCUAAACCAAGGUGACAUGAAUCUUAGCUUUUAUUUCUAAGAAAGAUGGACAUGCACCAGUUGUAAGUGAACAUAGGUGUAAAAUAUACAAAAACAGGAUAAAAUUUUCUGAGACCAGGUGCACUACCAUAUCUGUAGCAAAGUCAAGAAGGACUUAAAAGUGUGAGUAUGGAAGAAAAAGACACUGACUGGUUAUGAUGUCAAGAAAUAAGCUCAAAGGUCUUUGGCAGGGCUGACAGUGUCUUCACAUUCCCUCUCAAACUACAUAAAUCAACCUAAAGGAAGAAGGGUGCACAUCCAUGGCAAAGAUUCAGUAACAAUGGGACUUUUAAGAAUGCUGACCUCCUGGAACUGAACUGCCAAUGUCAUCUGGGAAGUUGGACUUUGUUCUUGCUAAAACACUGAAAGAAGCAUAGUGUGUAACACAUCUAAUACUCCCAAAAAUAAAGUUUUGUGCUUCAUAUUUUUCA